Sebastes umbrosus (honeycomb rockfish) is the source of this 379-nucleotide long non-coding RNA. RefSeq lists it as uncharacterized. The record is from RefSeq and is a predicted model, not a curated record. The transcript is spliced from 2 exons. Lineage: Eukaryota; Metazoa; Chordata; Actinopteri; Perciformes; Sebastidae.
CAAACCUCCUGAGACGGAGCCUGUGACAUUACAGCGGUGAUGUGAUUUCCCCGCCACCGCUACUGACCUGAUCCACAUCAGUCAGUCGGUUUUAAUGAAAUGUCGGAGGUUUGAGAAGAGAUGAUCCAGUUUUGGCGAGCCAGGAUCCAUCCAGGAGGUGCAGGAACAGUAUCCCGCCUACUGUGGAGCGACAACAACCUUCAACUUCAGAACAGAUACCGUAAGCACAUGAUCUCAACUAACACACUACCCGGGUAGUAACGACAAUAUUCACGCACACCACACUCCUGAACUGAGGAGAACUGAAAAGAACUGAACUGGGUUUACAUGUUUGUUUUUCCUGUAUUGUAAUAAAAGGAGGUGUUCUCUUUAAGCCUUA